Molecule: non-coding RNA, 75 nt
Organism: Merluccius polli (Benguela hake)
Lineage: Eukaryota; Metazoa; Chordata; Actinopteri; Gadiformes; Merlucciidae
Source: the annotation of a GenBank genome assembly
GGAUAGUCUAGUGGUCUAGGGUGUUUGACUCCCAGCCAAAAGGUUCUGGGUUAAAACCCCAGUGUCCGAAGUCUA